This 435-nucleotide ribosomal RNA is filed under the name uncultured Saccharofermentans sp. RNAcentral describes it as "partial 16S ribosomal RNA". It matches the Rfam family "Bacterial small subunit ribosomal RNA", at positions 341 to 792 of the family's 1533-position model. Lineage: Bacteria; Bacillati; Bacillota; Clostridia; Eubacteriales; Oscillospiraceae. The record is from RNAcentral.
ACGGAAGGCAGCAGUGGGGAAUAUUGGGCAAUGGGCGCAAGCCUGACCCAGCAACGCCGCGUGAAGGAUGAAGGUCUUCGGAUUGUAAACUUCUUUGAUCAGGGACGAAUUUUGACGGUACCUGAAGAACAAGUCACGGCUAACUACGUGCCAGCAGCCGCGGUAAUACGUAGGUGACAAGCGUUAUCCGGAUUUACUGGGUGUAAAGGGCGUGUAGGCGGUUUGGCAAGUCAGAAGUGAAAUUCCUGAGCUCAACUCGGGCGCUGCUUCUGAAACUGCUAGACUUGAGUGCUGGAGGGGAUAGCGGAAUUCCUAGUGGAGCGGUAAAAUGCGCAGAUAUUAGGAAGAACACCGGUGGCGAAGGCGGCUAUCUGGACAGUAACUGACGCUGAGGCGCGAAAGCGUGGGGAGCAAACAGGAUUAGAUACCCUGGUA